This 446-nucleotide ribosomal RNA is filed under the name uncultured bacterium. RNAcentral's name for it is "partial 16S ribosomal RNA". It matches the Rfam family "Bacterial small subunit ribosomal RNA", at positions 338 to 795 of the family's 1533-position model. The record is from RNAcentral.
CCUACGUGGGGCAGCAGUCGAGAAUCAUUCACAAUGGGGGAAACCCUGAUGGUGCGACGCCGCGUGGGGGAAUGAAGGUCUUCGGAUUGUAAACCCCUGUCAUGUGGGAGCAAAUUAAAAAGAUAGUACCACAAGAGGAAGCGACGGCUAACUCUGUGCCAGCAGCCGCGGUAAUACAGAGGUCGCAAGCGUUGUUCGGAAUCACUGGGCGUAAAGGGUGCGUAGGCAGUUUCGUAAGUCGUGUGUGAAAGGCGCGGGCUCAACCCGCGGACGGCACAUGAUACUGGGAGACUAGAGUAAUGGAGGGGGAACGGGAAUUCUCGGUGUAGCAGUGAAAUGCGUAGAUAUCGAGAGGAACACUCGUGGCGAAGGCGGGUUCCUGGACAUUAACUGACGCUGAGGCACGAAGGCCAGGGGAGCGAAAGGGAUUAGAUACCCUUGUAGUC